GACGGAGGGUGCAAGCGUUAUUCGGAAUCAUUGGGCGUAAAGAGCGUGUAGGCGGCCGGUUAAGUCAGGUGUGAAAGCCCGGGGCUCAACCCAGGAAGGGCACUUGAUACUGGUCGGCUUGAGUUCGGGAGAGGGAAGCGGAAUUCCUGGUGUAGAGGUGAAAUUCGUAGAUAUCAGGAGGAACACCGGUGGCGAAGGCGGCUUCCUGGACCGAAACUGACGCUGAGACGCGAAAUCGUGGGGAGUAAACAGG
This 253-nucleotide ribosomal RNA is filed under the name uncultured bacterium. RNAcentral describes it as "partial 16S ribosomal RNA". It matches the Rfam family "Bacterial small subunit ribosomal RNA", at positions 524 to 776 of the family's 1533-position model. The record is from RNAcentral.